GAAUACUCUCAAAUUUCGUAACAAUAUGUACCUUGUAGUUUUCAAUAAAUUUGCCGUUUUACCAUCCGCACUUGUCCUUACGUUUGCGUCAUUUCAAAACUUUAUUGUAAAGCGUAUUCGCAAAGGCACGGCUUCGUAUUUGUGUUAUGUAGUUUAGACUAGUUAUGCCUGGGAAGUGCUAUUUUAAUCCCCAAUGGAUGGAUAAUCAAGCUUAUAAAGAAUGGAUUUUAUCGAUGCCCGAAAAGAAGUUCAGAGCCAAGUGCCGAUUAUACAUGAAGGAGAUCGAUAUCGCGAAAAUGGAAGAAUCUGCUCAGAAAUCACACAUGAAAGAAAGGUAAAACAAAAAAGCAGUCUCAUGCCCUGGGUUCUCUUUUUCCAAAGACAUCAACAUCUAAUUCAUCUGGUGUAAAUACUCCUUCAACAUUGUGUGCCCCGUGUGAAACAGAAACUUUAGUGG
Non-coding RNA from Parasteatoda tepidariorum (common house spider), 457 nucleotides. Lineage: Eukaryota; Metazoa; Arthropoda; Arachnida; Araneae; Theridiidae. The record is from RefSeq and is a predicted model, not a curated record.